CGAACGGUGAACCAGGGUGCUUGCACUAUAGAGGGAUCAGUGGCGAACGGGUGAGUAACACGUGAGCAACCUGCCCCUGACUCUGGGAUAAGCGCUGGAAACGGCGUCUAAUACUGGAUACGAGACGUGAUCGCAUGGUCAAUGUCUGGAAAGAUUUUUCGGUUGGGGAUGGGCUCGCGGCCUAUCAGCUUGUUGGUGAGGUAAUGGCUCACCAAGGCGUCGACGGGUAGCCGGCCUGAGAGGGUGACCGGCCACACUGGGACUGAGACACGGCCCAGACUCCUACGGGAGGCAGCAGUGGGGAAUAUUGCACAAUGGGCGGAAGCCUGAUGCAGCAACGCCGCGUGAGGGACGACGGCCUUCGGGUUGUAAACCUCUUUUAGCAGGGAAGAAGCGAAAGUGACGGUACCUGCAGAAAAAGCGCCGGCUAACUACGUGCCAGCAGCCGCGGUAAUACGUAGGGCGCAAGCGUUAUCCGGAAUUAUUGGGCGUAAAGAGCUCGUAGGCGGUUUGUCGCGUCUGCUGUGAAAUCCGGAGGCUCAACCUCCGGCCUGCAGUGGGUACGGGCAGACUAGAGUGCGGUAGGGGAGAUUGGAAUUCCUGGUGUAGCGGUGGAAUGCGCAGAUAUCAGGAGGAACACCGAUGGCGAAGGCAGAUCUCUGGGCCGUAACUGACGCUGAGGAGCGAAAGGGUGGGGAGCAAACAGGCUUAGAUACCCUGGUAGUCCACCCCGUAAACGUUGGGAACUAGUUGUGGGGUCCAUUCCACGGAUUCCGUGACGCAGCUAACGCAUUAAGUUCCCCGCCUGGGGAGUACGGCCGCAAGGCUA
This 829-nucleotide ribosomal RNA is filed under the name Microbacterium oxydans. RNAcentral describes it as "bacterial SSU rRNA". It matches the Rfam family "Bacterial small subunit ribosomal RNA", at positions 63 to 896 of the family's 1533-position model. Lineage: Bacteria; Bacillati; Actinomycetota; Actinomycetes; Micrococcales; Microbacteriaceae. The record is from RNAcentral.